Molecule: small nuclear RNA, 167 nt
Organism: Mastomys coucha (southern multimammate mouse)
Lineage: Eukaryota; Metazoa; Chordata; Mammalia; Rodentia; Muridae
Product: U1 spliceosomal RNA
Exons: 1
Source: RefSeq, a predicted model, not a curated record
AUACUUACCUAGAAGAAGAGAUGUCAUAAUCACAAAGGUUGUUUUCCCAAGGUGAGGCUUAUCCACUACAUCCAGAACAUAUAUUCUGACCCCUACAAUUUCCCCAAAUUCAGGAAACUCAACUGCAUACUUGGUGGUAGUGAGGAACUGUAUUUAUGCUCUCCUGU